UUCAUCCCUUCUACAAGGCGUGUCUUCGUGACCGUCAACAUCUCCAGGAAUCAAACAUUUACUAUGCUUAUAGACAUGGCACUGCACACCCAGUACUGGAGCUGGGAACACAGCGCAGACCCUGCCGUUAUCGCAAGUAAACGCCCGACAACUCGAACAUCUGAGCUGAAAAGAAGUACUGGCCAAGUGACUGAAGAGUAAAAUAGCCGACCCCAUGAAUGUUGCUUGGUGAUACAGUGAGUGGGAGCAACUUUUUCUGUUGCCCAAGACCUCUGCCCAGACCGUACAGAGUAACAGCCUGCAACUACUCUCGCAGAAAACUGAAGAACAAGUCUACAGUAAGUCAUACUUGCUAUCAAUAAAACGGACAUAAAUUGCUUUGGGGUCUUCAGUCAAUAGUGACUGAGUUUUGAAAGGUUAAUUACACAUGAUAAACACCAUUAUCAGCCAAAGGGUGUCAGGCAGAGGACAUCCCCACUGGCAGCAACUCAUACACGCUCAGUGCACAUGGCUUUUUAGGUUACUUCUCAAAUGAGUGAAAAAAGCUCAGUCACAACAUACGCUUGGUCCAAAGAGUCUGAAAUUCUGAGUAGAAAGCAUGCAUUGACAGAAUACAAAAACAUAUAGUAACUUCAGCAAAGCAUUAAAUGACCUGUUUGUGUUCAUUUUCAAAAAGGAUGUAUUUUUGGAAGACCUUUUCUACAGAGAAACACGGAACUGUGUGCUGUUGAUAGUCCGAACACAAAACACAAUACAAUAAUUCAGCUUCCCACAAAUGACCAUUGUUGAAUGUUUAAAAAUGUAUUUCAUCAGCUCCACCACGUAGCUUAUUCAAUCUCAGUAUUUCAACAUCCUCAAAAGUGGUGUAUUACUGACCAAGAAAACAGUCAACACAAUAAAAACAUCUCUUCCUACUAUUAGAAAAUAACUACUUUGUCAUGUUGACUUCACUGUUUCAUCUCAGUGAUUAGAUUUAAGAAAGAGUAAACACUUAUUUGACCACAAACAAACACACCCAGACAGUGUUAUUAUCAAGGAGUUAUUUCUCAUUUGACAUGAAAAUGAAAAGCCACCAAUUUGAUUGCUGCCAUUUGCUCUGUCCACUAUUUCAUCAAAAGAAGCCAGUUAUAAAUAAACCAAAUGUUUUACUGGCAAAAUUCAAUUACCUCUGUCAGCGUCAAGUAAUGAGUAACAGCCAGCGCUCGCUCUCAUUCAAUUUCAGUGUCCUAGGGGAAUGAUGUUUGUCUAAUGUCUUGAUUUUUUUUUUUCCUUUUCUAAUAAUGAUGUUCUUUCUGUGGCCUGCUAAGUGGAGCACAACAUCUGAAUCAAGUUCUUAUAUGGCUAGUGUG
This is a long non-coding RNA of Synchiropus splendidus (mandarinfish), 1349 nucleotides long. RefSeq lists it as uncharacterized. NCBI's taxonomy places the organism in Eukaryota, Metazoa, Chordata, Actinopteri, Syngnathiformes, Callionymidae. The record is from RefSeq and is a predicted model, not a curated record. The transcript is spliced from 3 exons.